Molecule: ribosomal RNA, 253 nt
Filed under: uncultured bacterium
Lineage: Bacteria
Description: partial 16S ribosomal RNA
Rfam family: Bacterial small subunit ribosomal RNA
Source: RNAcentral
GACGAACCGUCCUAACGUUGUUCGGAUUCACUGGGCUUAAAGGGCGCGUAGGCGGCCUGAUAAGUAGGGGGUGAAAUCCUGCGGCUUAACCGCAGGGCUGCCUUCUAAACUGUCAGGCUAGAGCACAGUAGAGGCAGGUGGAAUUCCCGGUGUAGCGGUGGAAUGCGUAGAGAUCGGGAAGAACAUCAGUGGCGAAGGCGGCCUGCUGGGCUGUUGCUGACGCUGAGGCGCGACAGCGUGGGGAGCAAACAGG